GACGAACGCUGGCGGCGUGCUUAACACAUGCAAGUCGAACGGAAAGGCCCUGCUUGCAGGGUACUCGAGUGGCGAACGGGUGAGUAACACGUGGGUGAUCUGCCCUGCACUUCGGGAUAAGCUUGGGAAACUGGGUCUAAUACCGGAUAGGAGCCAUCUUUAGUGUGGUGGUUGGAAAGUUUUUUCGGUGUAGGAUGAGCUCGCGGCCUAUCAGCUUGUUGGUGGGGUAAUGGCCUACCAAGGCGGCGACGGGUAGCCGGCCUGAGAGGGUGUACGGCCACAUUGGGACUGAGAUACGGCCCAGACGCCUACGGGAGGCAGCAGUGGGGAAGAUUGCACAAUGGGCGCAAGCCUGAUGCAGCGACGCCGCGUGGGGGAUGAAGGCCUUCGGGUUGUAAACUCCUUUCGCUAGGGACGAAGCUUUUUGUGACGGUACCUAGAUAAGAAGCACCGGCUAACUACGUG
Molecule: ribosomal RNA, 465 nt
Filed under: uncultured bacterium
Lineage: Bacteria
Description: partial 16S ribosomal RNA
Rfam family: Bacterial small subunit ribosomal RNA
Source: RNAcentral